GACGAACGCUGGCGGCGUGCCUAAUACAUGCAAGUAGAACGCACAGUUUAUACCGUAGCUUGCUCCACCAUAGACUGUGAGUUGCGAACGGGUGAGUAACGCGUAGGUAACCUGCCUGGUAGCGGGGGAUAACUAUUGGAAACGAUAGCUAAUACCGCAUAAUAUUAAUUAUUGCAUGAUAAUUAAUUGAAAUGUGCAAUUGCACCACUACCAGAUGGACCUGCGUUGUAUUAGCUAGUGGGUGAGGUAACGGCGCACCUAGGCGACGAUACAUAGCCGAACUGGGAGGGUGAUCGGCCACACUGGGACUGGGACACGGCCCAGGCCCCUACGGGAGGCAGCAGUAGGGGAUCUUCGGCAAUGGACGAAAGUCUGACCGAGCAACGCCGCGUGAGUGAAGAAGGUUUUCGGAUCGUAAAGCUCUGUUGUAAGAGAAGAACGGGUGUGAGAGUGGAAAGUUCACACUGUGACGGUAUCUUACCAGAAAGGGACGGCUAACUACGUG
RNAcentral lists this ribosomal RNA (505 nucleotides) under uncultured bacterium. RNAcentral's name for it is "partial 16S ribosomal RNA". It matches the Rfam family "Bacterial small subunit ribosomal RNA", at positions 28 to 507 of the family's 1533-position model. The record is from RNAcentral.